Long non-coding RNA from Polypterus senegalus (gray bichir), 325 nucleotides. RefSeq lists it as uncharacterized. NCBI's taxonomy places the organism in Eukaryota, Metazoa, Chordata, Cladistia, Polypteriformes, Polypteridae. The transcript has 3 exons. The record is from RefSeq and is a predicted model, not a curated record.
UGGCGCAACUGGGAAAGGAAACUGCAGGCGCCGCGCCUGUGCUCGGGAUUUACUCAGCGCUCGAGUGCCCCGGGACACCGCAAGAGAAAGAACCUUGAGCCGCGUAUCGACAGGACAUCUCUAGAACAAUGGAGACAAGAGUCCUACUGCUGCUGGUCCUGAUGUCCUCAGUGAUGACGGACAAUUGUCAACAAAUGGACAGAGUAAUGCAUCAUCUACAAACUUCAUUACACCAACAACUCCAACAACAACAGAAUCAACAACUACUACAACAGGAACGACUCCACAUCUCAAACUACUUCUGGCACCGACACAACCAACAACA